CCUACGGGUGGCUGCAGUCGAGAAUCUUCGGCAAUGGGCGCAAGCCUGACCGAGCGACGCCGCGUGCGAGAUGAAGGCCUUCGGGUUGUAACUCGCUGUCAGAGGGGAGGAAAUGCCGGUGGGUUCUCCCAUCGGUUUGACCUAUCCUCAGAGGAAGGACGGGCUAAGUUCGUGCCAGCAGCCGCGGUAAGACGAACCGUCCAAACGUUAUUCGGAAAAGGGGGCGUUGAAGGUUGGGCAGGUUGUCCGUGAAAGCCCUCAGCUCAACUGAGGAAGUGCGCCCAAAACUGCCGGACUUGAGGGAGACAUAGGUGAGCGGAACUUAGGGUGGAGCGGUGAAAUGCGUUGAGAUCCUAAGGAACACCAGUAGCGAAAGCGGCUCACUGGGUCUCUUCUGACGCUGAUGCACGAAAGCUAGGGGAGCGAAGAGGAUUAGAUACCCCUGUAGUC
This 450-nucleotide ribosomal RNA is filed under the name uncultured bacterium. RNAcentral describes it as "partial 16S ribosomal RNA". It matches the Rfam family "Bacterial small subunit ribosomal RNA", at positions 338 to 795 of the family's 1533-position model. The record is from RNAcentral.